GCAUUGGUGGUCUAGUGGUAUGAUGUCCCCCUGCCACGGUGGCGACCCGGGUUCGAUUCCCGGCCAAUGCA
Molecule: transfer RNA, 71 nt
Filed under: Hofstenia miamia
Lineage: Eukaryota; Metazoa; Xenacoelomorpha; Acoela; Hofsteniidae
Description: tRNA-Gly for anticodon GCC
Rfam family: tRNA
About the family: Transfer RNA (tRNA) molecules are approximately 80 nucleotides in length. Their secondary structure includes four short double-helical elements and three loops (D, anti-codon, and T loops).
Source: RNAcentral